Gastrolobium bilobum is the source of this 266-nucleotide long non-coding RNA. RefSeq lists it as uncharacterized. Lineage: Eukaryota; Viridiplantae; Streptophyta; Magnoliopsida; Fabales; Fabaceae. The record is from RefSeq and is a predicted model, not a curated record. The transcript is spliced from 3 exons.
AUUGGCUCUCAAAAAUUCGGCCCUUUGGUGAAAUUUGAGGUUUUGAGUGCUUCAACCUCCAUUGAAGCUUGAGGAGCCAUCAAUCCUUGGUUGUGUGACCAUUGGUGGAUUGAGACAUUUGGACCAACCGUGAGUGAUCAACCAUUGGAGCAAGCUAUGGAGCUUGAUUAGCUCCAUUGGAUAGGUUUUGUUUGAGAAGUGGAGUAUUUUAAUUGAUUGACUGUGGAAACUGUUGGUGGUGAACAAAGGUCGAAUUGAAGCUGAGG